UAUGGUCACAUCAUGUUGAAACACUCCUUCCCGUGCGAUCACCAAAGCUAAGCAACGUCGAGACUGGUCAUUACCUAGAUGGGUGACCGUUUGAGAAUACCACGU
Molecule: non-coding RNA, 105 nt
Organism: Acanthosepion pharaonis
Lineage: Eukaryota; Metazoa; Mollusca; Cephalopoda; Sepiida; Sepiidae
Source: the annotation of a GenBank genome assembly